Molecule: ribosomal RNA, 628 nt
Filed under: uncultured Actinomycetes bacterium
Lineage: Bacteria; Bacillati; Actinomycetota; Actinomycetes
Description: bacterial SSU rRNA
Rfam family: Bacterial small subunit ribosomal RNA
Source: RNAcentral
AUUCGCGGCCUAUCAGCUUGUUGGUGAGGUAAUGGCUCACCAAGGCGUCGACGGGUAGCCGGCCUGAGAGGGUGACCGGCCACACUGGGACUGAGACACGGCCCAGACUCCUACGGGAGGCAGCAGUGGGGAAUAUUGCACAAUGGGCGAAAGCCUGAUGCAGCAACGCCGCGUGAGGGACGACGGCCUUCGGGUUGUAAACCUCUUUUAGCAAGGAAGAAGCGAAAGUGACGGUACUUGCAGAAAAAGCGCCGGCUAACUACGUGCCAGCAGCCGCGGUAAUACGUAGGGCGCAAGCGUUAUCCGGAAUUAUUGGGCGUAAAGAGCUCGUAGGCGGUUUGUCGCGUCUGCUGUGAAAACCCGAGGCUCAACCUCGGGCCUGCAGUGGGUACGGGCAGACUAGAGUGCGGUAGGGGAGAUUGGAACUCCUGGUGUAGCGGUGGAAUGCGCAGAUAUCAGGAAGAACACCGAUGGCGAAGGCAGAUCUCUGGGCCGUAACUGACGCUGAGGAGCGAAAGGGUGGGGAGCAAACAGGCUUAGAUACCCUGGUAGUCCACCCCGUAAACGUUGGGAACUAGUUGUGGGGUCCAUUCCACGGAUUCCGUGACGCAGCUAACGCAUUAAGCGC